AAAUUUUUGUUUUGGAAACGAAAGAUUUUGAAAAUCUUUAAUAAAGGUUCAACUCCUUUAAAAUUU
This 66-nucleotide transfer RNA is filed under the name Myrianida brachycephala. RNAcentral's name for it is "tRNA-Ser". It matches the Rfam family "tRNA". From Rfam's summary of the family: Transfer RNA (tRNA) molecules are approximately 80 nucleotides in length. Their secondary structure includes four short double-helical elements and three loops (D, anti-codon, and T loops). The record is from RNAcentral. Lineage: Eukaryota; Metazoa; Annelida; Polychaeta; Phyllodocida; Syllidae.